GGGGGAUUAGCUCAGUUGGCUAGAGCGCUUGCCUUGCACGCAAGAGGUCAUCGGUUCGACUACGAUAUUCUCCACUA
Molecule: transfer RNA, 77 nt
Filed under: Tenacibaculum sp. Bg11-29
Lineage: Bacteria; Pseudomonadati; Bacteroidota; Flavobacteriia; Flavobacteriales; Flavobacteriaceae
Description: tRNA-Ala
Rfam family: tRNA
About the family: Transfer RNA (tRNA) molecules are approximately 80 nucleotides in length. Their secondary structure includes four short double-helical elements and three loops (D, anti-codon, and T loops).
Source: RNAcentral